GAUGAACGCUCGCGAUAGGCUUAACACAUGCAAGUCGAGGGGCAGCAUGGUCUUAGCUUGCUAAGACUGAUGGCGACCGGCGCACGGGUGCGUAACGCGUAUGCAACUUGCCUCACAGAGGGGGAUAACCCGUCGAAAGACGGACUAAUACCGCGUACACUUGGGAUAGGGCAUCCUGACCCAAGGAAAUGAAAUUCGCUGUGAGAUAGGCAUGCGUCCCAUUAGCUAGUUGGUGAGGUAACGGCUCACCAAGGCGACGAUGGGUAGGGGAACUGAGAGGGUGAACCCCCACACUGGUACUGCGACACGGACCAGACUCCUACGGGAGGCAGCAGUGAGGAAUAUUGGUCAAUGGGCGAGAGCCUGAACCAGCCAAGUCGCGUGAAGGAUGACUGUCUUAUGGAUUGUAAACUUCUUUUAGACGGGAAUAACAAGAGCCACGUGUGGCUCCCUGCAUGUACCGUAUGAAUAAGCAUCGGCUAACUCCGUG
RNAcentral lists this ribosomal RNA (490 nucleotides) under uncultured bacterium. Its description in RNAcentral is "partial 16S ribosomal RNA". It matches the Rfam family "Bacterial small subunit ribosomal RNA", at positions 28 to 507 of the family's 1533-position model. The record is from RNAcentral.